CCUGCCCCCAGAGGCAUUGCAGUUGUGUUUUCUGUGUCACAUGUGUGUCAAUACGAGCAGAGAGGCUAUGUCUACGCUCAGUGCUCUGAUCCACAACUGAAUGAUGAACAGCCUAAUAGU
RNAcentral lists this small nucleolar RNA (120 nucleotides) under Meriones unguiculatus (Mongolian gerbil). Its description in RNAcentral is "Small nucleolar RNA SNORA17 (ENSMUGG00000011376.1)". It matches the Rfam family "Small nucleolar RNA SNORA17". Rfam says of the family: snoRNA ACA 17 belongs to the H/ACA family of snoRNAs and is predicted to guide pseudouridylation of the 28S rRNA at positions U4659 and U4598. It shares the same host gene together with ACA43. Lineage: Eukaryota; Metazoa; Chordata; Mammalia; Rodentia; Muridae. The record is from RNAcentral.